GGGUGGCAGCUUCAGAUGGGAGGACCAGACUUCCCUCUUCCCAGCCACUUGUGCCAACUCCUCCGGGGGAAUCCCAAGGCGUUCCCAGGCCAGUCGAGAAAUAUAAAUAAUCUCUCAACAGUGUCCUGGGUCUUCCUCUAUGUCUCCUCCCAGUGGUACGUGACUGGGACGGGUCCAGAAGGCAUCCAAACCAGAUGGCCAGAUCACCUCAACUGGCUCCUCUCAACAUGGAGAAGUAG
This is a long non-coding RNA of Xiphophorus hellerii (green swordtail), 239 nucleotides long. RefSeq lists it as uncharacterized. Lineage: Eukaryota; Metazoa; Chordata; Actinopteri; Cyprinodontiformes; Poeciliidae. The record is from RefSeq and is a predicted model, not a curated record. The transcript has 3 exons.